GGCAGUUCUCAGGUGACACACCCCGGAAUCGGGCUCCCUCCACUGGUUCCAGGGUGUGUCACCUGAGAACCAGCG
This is a non-coding RNA of Myotis brandtii (Brandt's bat), 75 nucleotides long. The record is from Rfam. NCBI's taxonomy places the organism in Eukaryota, Metazoa, Chordata, Mammalia, Chiroptera, Vespertilionidae.